Molecule: ribosomal RNA, 468 nt
Filed under: uncultured bacterium
Lineage: Bacteria
Description: partial 16S ribosomal RNA
Rfam family: Bacterial small subunit ribosomal RNA
Source: RNAcentral
GACGAACGCUGGCGGCGUGCUUAACACAUGCAAGUCGAACGGACAGGCCCUGCUUUUGUGGGGUUCUCGAGUGGCGAACGGGUGAGUAUCACGUGAGUAACCUGCCCUUGACUUUGGGAUAACUUCAGGAAACUGGGGCUAAUACCGGAUAGGAGCUCCUGCUGCAUGGUGUGGGUUGGAAAGUUUCGGCGGUUGGGGAUGGACUCGCGGCUUAUCAGCUUGUUGGUGGGGUAGUGGCUUACCAAGGCUUUGACGGGUAGCCGGCCUGAGAGGGUGACCGGCCACAUUGGGACUGAGAUACGGCCCAGACUCCUACGGGAGGCAGCAGGGGGGAAUAUUGCACAAUGGGCGGAAGCCUGAUGCAGCAACGCCGCGUGCGGGAUGACGGCCUUCGGGUUGUAAACCGCUUUCGCCGGUGACGAAGCGUGAGUGACGGUAAUGGGUAAAGAAGCACCGGCUAACUACGUG